RNAcentral lists this microRNA precursor (75 nucleotides) under Myotis davidii. RNAcentral's name for it is "mir-9193 microRNA precursor family". It matches the Rfam family "mir-9193 microRNA precursor family". Lineage: Eukaryota; Metazoa; Chordata; Mammalia; Chiroptera; Vespertilionidae. The record is from Rfam by way of RNAcentral.
CAUGCACUUGGGAGGGUCCCUCAGUCCAGAUUGUGAGAGGGUGCAGGCCAGGUCGAGGGACCCCACUGGUGCAUG